GCCCGGCUACCUCAGUCGGUAGAGCAUGAGACUCUUAAUCUCAGUGUUGUGGGUUCGAGCCCCACGUUGGGCA
This 73-nucleotide transfer RNA is filed under the name Tauraco erythrolophus (red-crested turaco). It matches the Rfam family "tRNA". Rfam says of the family: Transfer RNA (tRNA) molecules are approximately 80 nucleotides in length. Their secondary structure includes four short double-helical elements and three loops (D, anti-codon, and T loops). The record is from Rfam by way of RNAcentral. Lineage: Eukaryota; Metazoa; Chordata; Aves; Musophagiformes; Musophagidae.